CCUACGGGAGGCUGCAGUGAGGAAUAUUGGUCAAUGGACGAGAGUCUGAACAAGCCAAGUAGCGUGAAGGAUGACUGACCUAUGGGUUUUAAACUUCUUUUAUAUGGGAAUAAAACAGGGUAUGCAUACCCUUUUGUAUGUACCAUAUGAAUAAGGAUCGGCUAACUUCGUGCCAUCAGCCGCGGUAAUACGGAGGAUACGAGCGUUAUCCGGAUUUAUUGGGUUUAAAGGGAGCGUACGUGGGUUGUUAAGUCAGUUGUGAAAGUUUGCGGCUCAACCGUAAAAUUGCAGUUGAAACUGGCAGUCUUGAGUACAGUAGAGGUGGGCGGAAUUCGUGGUGAAGCGGUGAAAUGCUUAGAUAUCACGAAGAACACCGAUUGCGAAGGCAGCUCACUGGACUGCAACUGACACUGAUGCUCGAAAGUGUGGGUAUCAAACAGGAUUAGAUACCCUUGUAGUC
Molecule: ribosomal RNA, 460 nt
Filed under: uncultured bacterium
Lineage: Bacteria
Description: partial 16S ribosomal RNA
Rfam family: Bacterial small subunit ribosomal RNA
Source: RNAcentral